CCUGAGACUAAUGAAGAACCACAACCUUCAGAAAUCAGAUAUUACUUUUAAUAAAACAACCUUGGUGUUUUAUUGCUAGACCUUAAUAAGACAAUGUCUAAGGACAGGAUUCUAUACAGCAUCAACUAUCUUUGGCUGAUAUUACAUGGCACAUUAAAUAACCACAUUAAAUAACCACCAAAAAAAAAGUCCUAAUUCCAUCAUUAAAUAGAUCAUUACUAUCAAGAAAAGCCAAUGUGAAGAAAAAUAAAGCUUUGUUCUACAGAUUCAGCAGUGCUAGUUUUACAUUAGUGCAGUUGAGAGCAUCCUUGAAAUAGCAUAGACUACUACAUACCAAUGACAUUGAUGUUCUUUUCAGAAUCCAUAGAAACCUUUUGGUUUUACAAUUUGGAGAAUUACUGUACAAGAAACCCAUUGUUUUUGUUAAACGAUUCAAUGCAUACCUUCCAACUAAAAAUGUUUAUUUUAUUAUCCAUAAAUACAUAUUCAACUUUAUUUAUCCCCACUGGGACAAUACAAAUGCCCAAAUAAUAUGUAUUACACCAUUUGAUACACAAUCGUUUAAAUUAACAUUAAAAACAGAACUUUGGCAAGUCAGCAGAAAUGUUCAAAAUAGUUUGAGGACCCAAACCCAGUAUAGACUGAGGAAGGCUAAAGGCACAGCUAUUUUCCUCUGGAGUGGUUUACCCUUGAAAUACUGUAAAAAAUAUAUAUUUACCACAGUAUUUUAUGUAAGGUGUUGAGACACGUGUAUUGUUUAUAUUUUUGGUAUAUUGAGAUCAGGAUAUGAAAUGUAUUUCACAUGGGAUAAAAACAAUUAUGUAUAUAAAAUAUGAAUUGUGUAUUAUUUCAUGACAAAAUGCUGUGUAGACAUGAUAGGAAACAUACACUGAGUACACCAGAACGAAACACCUUCCUAAUAUUGAGUUACGCACCCUCUGAAUGACACACACAAUCAUUGUCUCAAGGUUUACAAAUCCCUUUUUGACCUGUUUGCUCCCAUUCAUCUACACUGAUUCAAGUGGAUUUAAGUGACAUCAAAAAGGGAUCAUAGCUUUCACCUGGUCAGUCUGUCAUAGAAAGAGCAGGUGUUCUUAAUGUGUUUGUACAACAGGAAUACUGUACACUGAGUACAGUAUUCCUGUUGUAUCGUAUUGUACCCCCCCCAAUCACGUAAAGUACAGCCACCCCAAAACAGAAUAUAAAAAGAGGGACACACAACAAAACUGAGAAAGCAGUCCGUAUUUGAUCAACUGGCUCAACUAUACCUGUAUGCCAAUAAUUGUCUGCAAGGAUUGGUGUAGAAUAUUCUGAACCUGCCUCCCGUCUCUGUGAAAGGAGGUCUCCCAUUGUCUCUGUUCAGCAACAACAUCAGCAGGCAGUCUGAAUCAAGGACAGACAGAUGGGCUGUAGUGAUUCCAUCCAGCCUCAGGCCGGUCUAUACCCUGCCGAGGACACUGGUCAUAGGCUCCCCUGGCUGUCGCUCAAAUGGGGCAGUGUUGGUUGGACAGACAAUCCGCCUGAGGGUUUUUGUUUGUUUUUGUCCACAAAAUAGGACGAACGGUCCUCAGGGUCCAGCACUGUAUGCGACUGUGAUUACUAACAAGAGUUUGAAGGCACUCAUAGAGGUUGACGGGCACAGUGUGGAUGGAUGGAUUAAUAACGGCUUCCUCUGAAGGUACAGGUGUUGGGUUGUCCUGCGGUUCCUCUGUGGGAUCCGGUGAGGGGGCUCCGGACUACUCACUGAAGCUGAAGUGUAUGGCUGGGUUUGAUGGGUUCACUGAGGUGGGGGAGGAGGGCCCUGCACUGGACACUGUGCUGGGGGGGCCACUGCUUACUGCGCACACACAAUGAAAAGAGAAAGAGAG
This is a long non-coding RNA of Oncorhynchus tshawytscha (Chinook salmon), 1868 nucleotides long. The record is from Ensembl. Lineage: Eukaryota; Metazoa; Chordata; Actinopteri; Salmoniformes; Salmonidae.